GGGGUUGUGACUCAGUGGUAGAGUGCUUGCCUAGCAUGUGUGAGGUACUGGGUUCGAACCUCAGCAGCACAU
Molecule: non-coding RNA, 72 nt
Organism: Ictidomys tridecemlineatus (thirteen-lined ground squirrel)
Lineage: Eukaryota; Metazoa; Chordata; Mammalia; Rodentia; Sciuridae
Source: Rfam